CGCCCAUCACUAGACGUUUCAUUGCGUGUGUCCUGAGUAGGCACUCUAAUUCCGUGUGCACAACGUUACCGGCAGGAUUUUCAAAUCGCAUGAUUUUCCACCUUUAAAAAGGUACAUGCGAGCAGAUUUAGUAGGGAGUACUUUUCCUCGACUGUCACUAUCUUGCUCCCCAGGAAAAAAUUAAGCGUCACGCAAGUCAAUUCGCAUGCAAUGUCGAUGGUAAAAGCUCAAAUUGCGUCUGAAUUUUUUUUAAAGCCUUUUAGUGAGUCUCCAUGACGUGUCCUUUUACCUUGAUUCGGCUUAAGAGAUUUCAGUUUUCAAAACGAACCUCAGUUGAGUCCCCGAGAUACUGAGUGGAUGCACUGCAGUCUGACUUUCAAGUUUUCAGGCAUGGGUUUCAGGCAUAAACCACUUCUUCUCCUAUUUCUAGCCGCCAUAUUUCAGGUGCAGUUUUCUCCAUGUACCUCCGAUUCAACUCAAAAAUAUGCUCAGCUAGCCGGACCGGUGGCGAAUCAACUACCAACGCAGGAGGCUCCCGACGAAAAAGCAGAGAUUUCCGCAAAGAUAAAAGAAAAACUGGCAGAGAUGGAAUCCUUGAGGAAGGAGAAGGAAGAGCUUCAGAAAACGCAGCAUGGGGAGAUCCGCGCCAAAGCAGACGAGCUGAAGACAGAAUUCCAGGCUGAAGAGAAACUACAGAAAGAGGAGAGAGUCAAGAUCAAUGAAAUCCAAAAAAAGCCCAGGAGGGUUACAGAAAAUUGAUCGUGAAAUUCGAGAGCUCAUCAGGGAAGUCAGACGUAACAGACGUGAUGCGGAGAAGAAGGCAGACCUGGAAAAACAGCUUGCGCAAAAGCGGGAGGAACGUACUGCGCUGGAAAACGAGACUAAAAAGAGUAGGAACGCUAUUGCGGAUCAGAGGAAAGUCCGAGUUGACGCUCUGCAAAAGAAAUCUGAUGAGAUGAUGGCCGAGAAAAGAAAGUUGGAAGAGGACACCCGCAAGGAAGUCCGUGAGAUUGAGAGAGAACUGAAAACCGUGCAGGAAGAGUUGACGCAACUGCGAAAAGAUUUAAGGAGAGCAAAUUGGGGAUUCUGAGGACGAUAUACUUGAAUGGCCUGUGUCAAACUAUCAAAACUAGUCAUCAAAAUAUCAAGGUCAGGCGAUAUGAUUGGCUUACUCGAUGACUUGGACCAAUCACAGCCUUUGACCUUGACAUUUUGAUGGAGUAUUUUGAUAGUGUGAAACAGGCUAGUCACUUCGAGUUUCAAGAAAACCGAAUAUCGAAGGUGAAACUACCAAACCACGUAUCUCGGUUUGCGAUGUUGUAGAAUUUCUGUCAUACUUUAUUUUUUAAAUGGAAAACUGUUCAAAGUCCAUUUUUGGAAACGUCCGUGUUUUUCCUUUUCAUGCGAGAAAACUCUGUGAACAUUUCAAGAAAGGAUAUUGAUUUGUUCUACCUCAAAAAAAUUAAAAUGAGAGCGGAGAUAUUUAAACACCGCAAACGAGAUACGUGGUCUGGUAGUUUCACCAUCGAUAUGUUUUUGAUCCUGCGAAGGUCUUCAGAAACGGCUUUUGACUAUUUCAUUGUUUUCUCCUUUAAAAAUAUAAAAGUAGUAUUUUGUAUUCAUGAGGCAUUGUUGUACAGGGCUAUAAUACGUGGGUUUGCAGAGUAUUGAAAUGUUAUUUCUGAUUUGCUUAAGUCUCAUAAGAACCAAUUAUGUUUUUUUGUCUCAAAGGGGUUUUGAAAACUGAUAUGCAACUAUUCUGAAGUGUUCUGUUCUAUUUUUUCUAAAAAAAUAUAAAAUAGUAUUUACUCCUUGAGUAUUAUUUGAACAGGAUUAUUAAUCGCUUCAGUAACCGUUGCUCUGUUUGUAUAAAAAUAUGUAGCCUAUAAACUGUGUUGAAUACUUUUCUUUUUUACAAAUAUAGCAAGCAAAAUGAAAUUUACUUGAAACCGCAUUCGCUCUUUUUCUCAUUUUGUCACGAGGUGAUAAAAACAUAUUUUUUUUCCAAGUAUUAGGUGAGGAAAUUAUCUUAUUUCCAUCCAAGAGUAUUGCUGCACUUUUUUUAUUGUUCUUCUAUUUUUUGGAAAAAAAAUUUAUAACAAAAAUUAAAAGCAGGAAAGCAAUUAUUCCUUUAGGGAACAUGAAUAUCUAAGCAAUUAAGAAAUGUGUUGAUGUUUUAAUGUCUCCAUGCUAUUUUGCAUUUGAAAUGGUCUAUAUGACCAUGCUAAAAAUUUUAAAUGGAAGUGAUCUAUGGUCUGGAAAUUGCUGAAGAAUUCCAUAGUAUUGGCAAACUUUCAGUAAAUUCAUGCAUCGAAAUUAAAAAACACAUAGAAUUUUGUUUUGAUUGUUUUAUUCGGACUAAAUUUUGAUUACAAAGAAUGUAAUUAUGUGGAUCCAAAGAGGGAUAUAGAAUUCAGGAGCACUUCAUUCUAUUAACCAGGAAUCUUUCCAUCUGCUGAAACACGAGAAAAUACGUUUAUUAGUAUUAAAAUUGGAACAGCUUUCAGAUCCGAAAAAUUGCUAGCACAAAGUGGGAAUGUUCAAGUAUCAAGGAUCGGAAUAAGCAAGUGUUCCGCUCGCCUUGGUGAGGCAAAAGGUGAUGAAUUCUGAUCAAUUCAAAUUAAAAAGCAAAGAAAAUGUAUACAAAAUUUGACAUUCAAGUGUAUUUGCAAAAUUUUUAGAUACAUUUUUAGCAGAACGAUUAAAUAAUUUGCAUGAAUCGAGAAUUAACGCUCUAUUAAAAUUUCAUUUUUUAAUAAAAUUUAAAAGUCAUUUGCAACGCAUAAUCACUUACUGAAUGUUAUACAAGCGACAAACCUUCCCUUUUCCUCAGAGUUUCAAGAGAUACGUUAAUGUUAAAUUUGAGAAGAUGAGAAGAAGGAAAAAAACGAAAAAAGAAGUAGAAAAAAAAUAACAAAUCAAUCAUUUGGCAGGUAAAGGAUCUCACCUAUUAUUACAGAUGGUCGGACUCAGGGAGAGGAACUUAUAGGGAGAUGAUGUCGAAGGAGGUCCUUUCCUUUCCGUUGAGGGCGAUGACGUCGAAGACGACGCGUUCCUUUCCGUUGAGGGAGACGAUGUCGACAACAUUACGUUCCUUUCCGUUGAGGGCGACGAUGUCAACGGUGUUGCGUUCUUUGCCGUUUAAGGCGACGAUGUCCAUGGCGUUGCGCUCUUUGCCGUUGAGGGCGACGAUGUCAAUGACGUUCUUCUCUUGUCCGUACAUGUUGGAGUUUGGUUGGGGUUUUUAAAGGCUGAAAUGCAAAGUAGGACAACUAUAAGUGGAAAAUAAUGACUGAACGUCGGUAAAUAGUUCCCUUGAGGGUGGAGAGUUUCCGAAAGUUAAGGCUGCUAGACAAAGGUAAGGCUGUUUUAAUUAACUUAGGUAUACUCAAAAGUCCUUCAUACCUUUGAUCGGACAUGAAUCUAAACUUCAAUUUGAGACGUGAGACGUUUAGUCCUAAAAAAAAAAAAAAAAAAAAAAAAAAACUCGUAAUCCGGGUGAACUCAUUGAGAGCGUUUACUGAGACUGCGCCAGGAAAUAUCUGUCUGUAAGAAACGAUUUCCGAAAAUAAAAUAUUUUCAAUCAUGCUUUUUAGGUAGCUUGACGAGCGUACCUAAAAUUCCAAAAAUUCAGACAGAGAGAAAUCAGAAAAGCAGUGACUUAAACUAGUAGUAUCGUUUUAAUUUGGCCUACGAAAUGCUCUGUUAAUGAAAUUACGGUUCUAAUAGGCUCAAGAAUUUGGGUGACCGGUCUUUCACAAACACCUAGUUAACGUAAAUUCUAAAAUAUUCCCUCGCUCCUCAGAAUUGUUGUAUUGAGGGGUUCUAAUGAAACUUUCAAGCGCUCGGUUUAAAAUUGAAUACUCGUGGAGGAAAAGUGAAUCAGUUCUCCAAAUACUCCUUCAAUUUAUUUUCAGACGCAUUUAUAUAUCUUAAAAAGCAAAAGAAAAUCGCUCUUUUGACAUUUUUCUACAAAUUUAAAAAACAAAAGUAUUAAAUUUUGCAUUGAAAUAUUUUCUCAGAGUAGCUGAUUUUGUAUCUUAUUACACUGGUUGAAGAAAAUCGUAGAAGGGAAUGAUGAACAUACCUGAGAAAAGUAGAAGCUUGAGCUAGUGAAUACUGACUUGAUUUGUUUGUAAUCAAACGGGGUAUUUAUACUAGGCCCUGUGCUCAUUAUCAGUCAAUGAAAUGGCGUGGUUUCGAGGGGAAGCGUAUCCAAGCGCUGGAGGCUGGAACUUCGUACGAUCAUCCGAUGCAGAACUUGAUAAAAGCUUUAAAGCACUCUCCUCUGUUUACACUGAUAACUAAUUAAAAUUAAAGAUCAAUUUUUCUGAAUUUUUGUACAUCAGAUUAAAAUAUCUUAAAUUACCGAAAGUUCAAUUUAUUUGGAAUUACUGAUCUUCGAAGAUUAAAUGAGGGGCUUGGAGGACAUGACACACAAGUGCAGUUUUUGAAAAAAUAUGAGUUAUUAAUGGCUUCAAGUAAAACUAGCCCUAAUGCAUAUUCUAUGAAAAAUUCGCUAUCUAAGUCCAAUUUUUAAGCAUCAAAAAGUUA
This 4554-nucleotide long non-coding RNA is filed under the name Bemisia tabaci. RNAcentral describes it as "lncRNA ENSSSA3NGG003407". The record is from RNAcentral. Lineage: Eukaryota; Metazoa; Arthropoda; Insecta; Hemiptera; Aleyrodidae.